RNAcentral lists this ribosomal RNA (353 nucleotides) under uncultured Racocetra. RNAcentral's name for it is "SSU rRNA". It matches the Rfam family "Eukaryotic small subunit ribosomal RNA", at positions 569 to 929 of the family's 1831-position model. The record is from RNAcentral. Lineage: Eukaryota; Fungi; Glomeromycota; Glomeromycetes; Diversisporales; Gigasporaceae.
AGCAGCCGCGGUAAUUCCAGCUCCAAUAGCGUAUAUUAAAGUUGUUGCAGUUAAAAAGCUCGUAGUUGAAUUUCGGGAUUCUACCGUUGGUCGGGCUAUUGUUUGUACUGGCGUGUAGAAUUUCUACCUUCUGGGGAACUAUCAUGUUAUUAAUUUAGCGUGGUAGGAAACCAGGACCUUUACCUUGAAAAAAUUAGAGUGUUCAAAGCAGGCUUAUGUCUGAAUACAUUAGCAUGGAAUAAUAAAAUAGGACGGUGGUCCUGUUUUGUUGGUUUCUGAAUCACCGUAAUGAUUAAUAGGGAUAGUUGGGGGCAUUAGUAUUCAAUUGUCAGAGGUGAAAUUCUUGGAUUUAU